CCUACGGGGGACUGCAGUGGGGAAUAUUGCACAAUGGGGGAAACCCUGAUGCAGCGACGCCGCGUGAGUGAAGAAGUAAUUCGUUAUGUAAAGCUCUAUCAGCAGGGAAGAAAAUGACGGUACCUGACUAAGAAGCCCCGGGUAACUACGUGCCAGCAUCCGCGGUAAUACGUAGGGGGCAAGCGUUAUCCGGAUUUACUGGGUGUAAAGGGAGCGUAGACGGCAGUGCAAGUCUGGAGUGAAAGGCGGGGGCUCAACCCCCGGACUGCUCUGGAAACUGUACGGCUGGAGUGCAGGAGAGGUAAGUGGAAUGCGUAGUGUAGCGGUGAAAUGCGGAGAUAUUAGGAAGAACACCAGUGGCGAAGGCAGCUUACUGGAGUGUAACUGACGUUGAGGCUCGAAAGCGUGGGGAGCAAACAGGAUUAGAUACCCGUGUAGUC
Molecule: ribosomal RNA, 440 nt
Filed under: uncultured bacterium
Lineage: Bacteria
Description: partial 16S ribosomal RNA
Rfam family: Bacterial small subunit ribosomal RNA
Source: RNAcentral